This 97-nucleotide transfer RNA is filed under the name Eggerthella lenta. Its description in RNAcentral is "tRNA-Gly(tcc)". Lineage: Bacteria; Bacillati; Actinomycetota; Coriobacteriia; Eggerthellales; Eggerthellaceae. The record is from RNAcentral.
GGACGCGCUGGGCGGCUUGGCCGUGGCCACGACGCUUCCGGCGUCGGUUCUGGACGGCAACCUGUCGUUCGGCGUGAUCGAGGCGUUCCGCGCCAUC